RNAcentral lists this ribosomal RNA (685 nucleotides) under uncultured Gammaproteobacteria bacterium. Its description in RNAcentral is "bacterial SSU rRNA". It matches the Rfam family "Bacterial small subunit ribosomal RNA", at positions 74 to 793 of the family's 1533-position model. Lineage: Bacteria; Pseudomonadati; Pseudomonadota; Gammaproteobacteria. The record is from RNAcentral.
AGCACUUCGGUGUGAGUAGAGUGGCGGACGGGUGAGUAACGCGUGGGAAUCUACCCAGUAGUGGGGGACAACUACCGGAAACGGUAGCUAAUACCGCAUACGCCCUAUGGGGGAAAGGCUUCGGCCGCUAUUGGAUGAGCCCGCGUCAGAUUAGCUAGUUGGUAGGGUAAAGGCCUACCAAGGCAACGAUCUGUAGCUGGUCUGAGAGGACGAACAGCCACACUGGGACUGAGACACGGCCCAGACUCCUACGGGAGGCAGCAGUGGGGAAUAUUGGACAAUGGGCGAAAGCCUGAUCCAGCAAUGCCGCGUGUGUGAAGAAGGCCUGCGGGUUGUAAAGCACUUUCAGUUGGGAAGAUGAUGACGUUACCAACAGAAGAAGCACCGGCUAAAUCCGUGCCAGCAGCCGCGGUAAUACGGAUGGUGCGAGCGUUAAUCGGAAUUACUGGGCGUAAAGCGCGCGUAGGCGGCUAAGUCAGUCAGAAGUGAAAGCCCCGGGCUCAACCUGGGAAUUGCUUUUGAUACUGCUUAGCUAGAGUUUGGUAGAGGAUAGUGGAAUUCCAGGUGUAGCGGUGAAAUGCGUAGAUAUCUGGAGGAACAUCAGUGGCGAAGGCGACUGUCUGGACCAAAACUGACGCUGAGGUGCGAAAGCGUGGGUAGCAAACAGGAUUAGAUACCCUGGUAG